This is a long non-coding RNA of Papaver somniferum (opium poppy), 3008 nucleotides long. RefSeq lists it as uncharacterized. The transcript is spliced from 5 exons. Lineage: Eukaryota; Viridiplantae; Streptophyta; Magnoliopsida; Ranunculales; Papaveraceae. The record is from RefSeq and is a predicted model, not a curated record.
UCCACAGCAACUUUCAAUCUUAGUGAGAAAACCAAAAAAAAAAAAGAACGAAGAUUUAUCUUUCUAUCUUCUCCAACUCGAAGCAGCAUCCAUGCCAUGGUUCUGAGACCCUGCUCAUGUUCGAGUACCGAAAAAAGAGGGGCUCAAACCCUAGAAACAAAAAAUCUCAGAAGAAUUAAUGAAUCGAACCCCUUUUGUGUGCUCUUGGUUUCAGUUUCAAUUUGAUAGUGUUGAUUAGAAUGAUUGAAUUUUGUUUCUUUGAUCGACUUCACUUUCGUCAGAACUCUUCCGGUAAUAUCAAAUACAAUCUCUCUGCACUGGAUCAUUUUUUCGAACAGAAAUGACAAUGUCAGCGUGUUUCCUCAACUCAUCCUUUUUGUUCCUUGGAAUUUCAAUCUAUAGCAAGUUGUGGAUUUCUUUGAGUCAGGGAAGUUGGUGCAUAUUCGAUUCUCUUUUUAUUUCAAAGUUAGGAUUUGUAUCGUUUUUAUUUAAUUUUGUGUUUGAUUUGUUUCUGAUUUUUUUGUUUGUGUCAAACUAACAUCCUACAGGGGUUUCUCUUUGUUUUGUUUAUGAAUUUUACACAAUUUAGCUCUUUCUGAAUACCGACUUGGGGUUUUGAUCGAACCUUUUUUUUUUGAGAUCUAACUUUUUUGUUAAGUCUGUAUAACUGUAGAUUCUGCAAUUUCAAUGGAGAGCUCAUUAAUGACAAGUAUUUCAGGAUUAUACAACCUAAAUAUUGAAAUGUACUACAUACUUUCAGUUCUUUGCGGUAAUACAAACAGAUUCGAACAUAUAUAUUCUUUUUGUCGAUUUAAGAAAUUAUAUUUAGUUUCACAUGGUUUGCUGAAUACUAAUAAUGCACAAUUGCUACAACCGAAGGGAGAAAAUGCAUAUAAUAUUGUGAUUCAUAAUACAGUUUCACCGUCAGGAAUCUGCUCCAGGAAUUCUUUGUAUGUGUAACUUUAUACCAUUUAAGGACUCUCUUAUGGCUUUCAUUUCUCAUUUUCUACGUACCAAUUGAAAGCGUUAGCUUUUACAUUGCAAUAAAUUAGUUAAGGUAUCCACAAUCUUUUGUUUACAAUUUCAUAUACGCAUAUUGACUAUUGUUCUCCUGGAACAGUUUUCCAAAUGCAGCAAUAUGAUGCUCUCAGACCACUUGAAAUUUAUAAGAGGGCAGUGAAUCAGGUAAGUACCUUUUGCUGAUGAGAUUGCAACCUAAUAUUUGAGAAAUGUUUCACGAGUCAAAAAAUGUUGUGGACAUUUAUUUUUUUGUUUUCAUUUUGUAGAUCGUGCACACUAGGUUUUCGUUUUAUCUUAUUUUAUCUUAUUGAUACUAAUAAUUGAGACAAAGUCAAACCACGUUGGGAUUUCAGCAGACGAUCAAUGAAUAUGGCAUUGAGCCGUCAUCAACUUAAUUCAUGAUAACUAAAAACAUAGUAGUCUUUCGGAUGAACUAGAGCUAUAAAAAUUUAGGUGUUGAUUUGGUAAAUAGCUAGAUUGAUUAAAGCUUUGGUGAAUUCUCUAUGUUUCUGUUUCGUUCUUGCAGAGAUCUUUUUUUCUUUUCUUAAAAGCAGAUUAUGGGUUUUUUAGAGAACUGCAAAUAUACAUGGUAUACAAGAGGGAAAUGCUUGGAAAAAAAUCGAGGAAAACUGUAAAAAAAAUUAACAAGUAUCAAUUCCACCCAUGACGUUACAAGUGAGAAGGCUUUUCAGGAUUGACGCUUUGGUGUUUUUCCUUUGUCUUGAUGUCACUUUACUCUUGGACCUAGGUAGAGGGCUUUACACCCAUGGUGUACUACAAAGCACAGUUUAGUUAAGUUUGCCUAUGUAAGUGGUGGUCAGGAUUUGUCUUUGGCAAAGAUAAGUCCAUGGCCGUGGUUGUCCAGACCGCACCCAUUUUCGCACAUGUGCCUUAGCUUUUAGGGAGAAGAAUGAGUAACCAUGGGCGCUCGAUCGUUCUCUACAGCUGCCCCAAAUCCUCUACCUUCGAAUUCUUCGUCUUCCUGCCUUACAUCUUGAAAUGUGGAACACGCAGGUUCCAUUUUGUUAGUCAUGCGGAUGUUCACCACGAUUUUGAUCUUUGGUUUAGUUCUCAACUCAAUAAGAAUUUCAAAACUCAAGUUAGUUCUCAGAUCCUUCGGUACUACAAAACUCAAAUUACGGCAAAAAUUGGGAAGGAGAAGAGAGGUAGAAAGAGAACUAAGAGGCGAAACUAUUUGGUUCGUCUUCCGAACACUUCAGAAAACCAGGAAAUGGAAAAUGAUCAGAUAUUUCUGGUCAAUCUGAUUUCUCUAACUGCUUUAAGAGUUUUAAAGUCGAAUAAUUUUAGUAAUGGAGCAUUUAGAAAAGUAUAACCAGUGGGAGGUACAAGGUGAUAGAAAAGGAGCCUGCCAAAAAAAAAUAUAUAUGAGAAAGCCAUAUGGAUUUGAUGGUGGUAAAUCUGAGAGAGGAAACUUACUUAAAAGGGUAGGCAUGCGAGUGGCAAACCAUGUUAGAUAUGUCAAAAAUCAACUUUAUUGGUCUAUUUCAUAAAUUCUCAUACAGGGAAAACAAUUUUGCUGGAUAAGUAUACGGUUUACCAUUAUACGAGUGGCAGACCAUGUUUGGAUAACUUAGGUUAUAUAAAGAGCAGUCUAGAUUUUUUUUAUUUUAUUUUUUAUUUUUUUGUAGAAGAUAAAUUAAUGGCUGUGGUUGACUCCAUGAAAUACAUUUUACACCCAUAUUUUUACGGACUUGCCUUAUAAUUUCUGACACCUUCAUUUUCGAUGGACGAAUAUGAAUGCGUUUCCUUUAUUGAGUUUUUGGAUGUUCUUCCCUGCUAACUAGAUCAACCUCUGUCACUUCUCCCCGGCAUUUUUAGAUUAAAUUUUCUCUUUCUCUGGAUUCGUCAUAGACCCAAAUGUGUGCAAGUAAUCUAUCUCUAUCUUCUCUCUUUCUGUACUGAUCUUUAUUACGAUAAAAUAAGACUGAUAUUUGGGUUAGAUUUUGGGAGAAUUCAUAGUGUCUUCA